RNAcentral lists this ribosomal RNA (434 nucleotides) under uncultured bacterium. Its description in RNAcentral is "partial 16S ribosomal RNA". It matches the Rfam family "Bacterial small subunit ribosomal RNA", at positions 29 to 507 of the family's 1533-position model. The record is from RNAcentral.
AGCGAACGCUGGCGGCAGGCCUAACACAUGCAAGUCGAACGAACCUUUCGGGGUUAGUGGCGGACGGGUGAGUAACACGUGGGAACGUGCCUUUAGGUUCGGAAUAACUCAGGGAAACUUGUGCUAAUACCGAAUGUGCCCUUCGGGGGAAAGAUUUAUCGCCUUUAGAGCGGCCCGCGUCUGAUUAGCUAGUUGGUUGAGGUAAUGGCUCACCACGGCGACGAUCAGUAGCUGGUCUGAGAGGAUGAUCAGCCACAUUGGGACUGAGACACGGCCCAAACUCCUACGGGAGGCAGCGGUGGGGAAUCUUGCGCAAUGGGCGAAAGCCUGACGCAGCCAUGCCGCGUGAAUGAUGAAGGUCUUAGGAUUGUAAAAUUCUUUCACCGGGGACGAUAAUGACGGUACCCGGAGAAGAAGCCCCGGCUAACUUCGUG